GUUUUUGAUUAAUUGGAAGAAAAUAUAUUUCACUGGAUAACAACUUAUAACCACUAUUUAAUUUCAUUGUUUUUUUUACGAGUCCACUUUAGCAAUAAUCAAAUUUUAAUCUCUUACUAAAGAGAAAAUCUGCAUUUCAUAAUACACUUCUAUUCAAAUAACAAAAAUUUACUUCUAAUAACUCUAUAAAAUAGAUGUUAUUUUUAUGCGGCAUAAAUUUUAGAGAUGCAUAUCUUCAUGGACUUGAUUUAUGACCCCAUUUGAAAGUUUUGCAUUGUAAUCCGAUUACAAUGCUUUGUGAGAUCUAUAAUGAUAGUGAAAGGCAUAGACCAAAAGAAAAGGGAAAGAGGCUAAAAUAGUUCUUUUCUAUUUUUUGAAAAAAUGGUAAAAUGGUUAUUUUUAUUUUUUUAUUAAAAAU
Molecule: unclassified non-coding RNA, 418 nt
Filed under: Hevea brasiliensis (rubber tree)
Lineage: Eukaryota; Viridiplantae; Streptophyta; Magnoliopsida; Malpighiales; Euphorbiaceae
Source: RNAcentral